RNAcentral lists this ribosomal RNA (730 nucleotides) under Synechococcus sp. KUAC 3001. RNAcentral's name for it is "bacterial SSU rRNA". It matches the Rfam family "Bacterial small subunit ribosomal RNA", at positions 344 to 1088 of the family's 1533-position model. The record is from RNAcentral. Lineage: Bacteria; Bacillati; Cyanobacteriota; Cyanophyceae; Synechococcales; Synechococcaceae.
GGAGGCAGCAGUGGGGAAUUUUCCGCAAUGGGCGAAAGCCUGACGGAGCAACGCCGCGUGAGGGAUGAAGGCCUCUGGGCUGUAAACCUCUUUUCUCAAGGAAGAAGAUCUGACGGUACUUGAGGAAUAAGCCACGGCUAAUUCCGUGCCAGCAGCCGCGGUAAUACGGGAGUGGCAAGCGUUAUCCGGAAUUAUUGGGCGUAAAGCGUCCGCAGGCGGCCCUUCAAGUCUGCUGUUAAAAAGUGGAGCUUAACUCCAUCGUGGCAGUGGAAACUGUUGGGCUAGAGUGUGGUAGGGGCAGAGGGAAUUCCCGGKGUAGCGGUGAAAUGCGUAGAUAUCGGGAAGAACACCAGUGGCGAAGGCGCUCUGCUGGGCCAUAACUGACGCUCAUGGACGAAAGCCAGGGGAGCGAAAGGGAUUAGAUACCCCUGUAGUCCUGGCCGUAAACGAUGAACACUAGGUGUCGGGGGAAUCGACCCCCUCGGUGUCGUAGCCAACGCGUUAAGUGUUCCGCCUGGGGAGUACGCACGCAAGUGUGAAACUCAAAGGAAUUGACGGGGGCCCGCACAAGCGGUGGAGUAUGUGGUUUAAUUCGAUGCAACGCGAAGAACCUUACCAGGGUUUGACAUCCUGCGAAUCUCCUGGAAACGGGAGAGUGCCUUCGGGAACGCAGUGACAGGUGGUGCAUGGCUGUCGUCAGCUCGUGUCGUGAGAUGUUGGGUUAAGUCCC